This 311-nucleotide unclassified non-coding RNA is filed under the name Galerina hygrophila. Its description in RNAcentral is "partial internal transcribed spacer region". The stretch from base 1 to 46 matches the Rfam family "Eukaryotic small subunit ribosomal RNA", at positions 1786 to 1831 of the family's 1831-position model. The record is from RNAcentral. Lineage: Eukaryota; Fungi; Basidiomycota; Agaricomycetes; Agaricales; Galerinaceae.
AAGUCGUAACAAGGUUUCCGUAGGUGAACCUGCGGAAGGAUCAUUAUUGAAUGAACUUGGCGUGGUUGUCGCUGGCCCUCUCGGGGGUAUGUGCACGCCCGUCAUCUUUAUCUUUCCACCUGUGCACACUUUGUAGACUUGAAUAGUAUUUUCUGAGGCAACUCAGUCGGGAGGAUUGCUGGUAUUAUCAGCUUUCCUUGCAUUAUUCAAGCCUAUGUUUUUCAUAUACCCCAAAAAUGUAACAGAAUGUAUCAUUGGGCCUUGUGCCUAUAAACUAUAUACAACUUUCAGCAACGGAUCUCUUGGCUCUC